This 222-nucleotide ribosomal RNA is filed under the name Photorhabdus luminescens. Its description in RNAcentral is "partial 16S ribosomal RNA". It matches the Rfam family "Bacterial small subunit ribosomal RNA", at positions 1 to 215 of the family's 1533-position model. Lineage: Bacteria; Pseudomonadati; Pseudomonadota; Gammaproteobacteria; Enterobacterales; Morganellaceae. The record is from RNAcentral.
UUUAAUUGAAGAGUUUGAUCAUGGCUCAGAUUGAACGCUGGCGGCAGGCCUAACACAUGCAAGUCGAGCGGUAACAGGAAAGCGCUUGCGCUUUUGCUGACGAGCGGCGGACGGGUGAGUAAUGUCUGGGGAUCUGCCCGAGGGCGGGGGAUAACCACUGGAAACGGUGGCUAAUACCGCAUAAUGUCGCGAGACCAAAGUGGGGGACCUGAAAGGGCCUCA